GGGUUGUGAGGUUAAGCGAACAAGCGUACACGGUGGAUGCCCUGGCAGUCAGAGGCGAUGAAGGACGUGCUAAUCUGCGAAAAGCGCCGGUAAGGUGAUAUGAACCGUUAUAACCGGCGAUGUCCGAAUGGGGAAACCCGGUGCACUUCGGUGCAUCAUCGUUAGCUGAAUACAUAGGCUAACGAAGCGAACCGGGGGAACUGAAACAUCUAAGUACCCCGAGGAAAAGAAAUCAACCGAGAUUCCCCCAGUAGCGGCGAGCGAACGGGGAACAGCCCAGAGCCUGAAUCAGCUUGUGUGUCAGUGGAACGGUCUGGAAAGGCCGGCGAUACAGGGUGACAGCCCCGUACACGAAGGCACACAGGCUGUGAGCUCGAUGAGUAGGGCGGGACACGUGAUAUCCUGUCUGAAGAUGGGGGGACCAUCCUCCAAGGCUAAAUACUCCUGACUGACCGAUAGUGAACCAGUACCGUGAGGGAAAGGCGAAAAGAACCCCGGCGAGGGGAGUGAAACAGAACCUGAAACCGUGUACGUACAAGCAGUGGGAGCCUUCGUAAGAGGGUGACUGCGUACCUUUUGUAUAAUGGGUCAGCGACUUAUAUUCUGUAGCAAGGUUAACCGUAUAGGGGAGC
This 632-nucleotide ribosomal RNA is filed under the name Cronobacter malonaticus. RNAcentral's name for it is "partial 23S ribosomal RNA". It matches the Rfam family "Bacterial large subunit ribosomal RNA", at positions 1 to 666 of the family's 2925-position model. Lineage: Bacteria; Pseudomonadati; Pseudomonadota; Gammaproteobacteria; Enterobacterales; Enterobacteriaceae. The record is from RNAcentral.